UACGUAGGGUGCGAGCGUUAAUCGGAAUUACUGGGCGUAAAGCGUGCGCAGGCGGUUUUGUAAGCCAGAUGUGAAAGCCCCGGGCUUAACCUGGGAAUGGCAGUGGAAACUAGAGAACUUGAAUCUGGCAGAGGGGGGUGGAAUGCCACGUGUAGCAGUGAAAUGCGUAGAUAUGUGGCGGAACACCGAUGGCGAAGGCAGCCCCCUGGGCUGAGAUUGACGCUCAGGCACGAAAGCGUGGGGAGCAAACAGG
Molecule: ribosomal RNA, 253 nt
Filed under: uncultured bacterium
Lineage: Bacteria
Description: partial 16S ribosomal RNA
Rfam family: Bacterial small subunit ribosomal RNA
Source: RNAcentral